GUUAAGGUUUACUGUGUGUUUUGCAAAUUGAAAUAUAAAUAAUUGUUUUUCGAUUUCAUAUCUGUUCCGUAUUAUUUAAGGAAAAAUUUUUUUCAGUUUGAAUGAGACUGAUUUUAGUAAGGUGUCAAGUUUUAUAUUUUUGUCUACAUCGAUCUGCCCCACCCCUCCGUUAUUGUCCCAAUGGAUCGUCCCAGUCGGAACGUAUGCUGUCAGGACAUUGUGACUGAUAGGUACUCCCCUUUGCAAGUAGGUUUGGGUUCGUCCACCAAAUGGCGAAACUACCGUCUUCCUACCUUUCCUCCCUUCUGUAGAGAACGUGAGAACAACAGCUGGCGAUCUCGCGACGCAUUUCUUUUGUCCGUUUACCUUCGACCAUUUUCAUUUCUCCUGUGGCCAGACGUUUUUCCUUUCGUCGCGUUUAUGAUUCAGUAUAGAUUCUGAUAUCAAGAAGUUUCCGUUUCUUUUUUUUAAUGUUAAAAAAAUACAUAUCAAUGACAAAUGAAUAAACA
RNAcentral lists this long non-coding RNA (509 nucleotides) under Androctonus crassicauda. Lineage: Eukaryota; Metazoa; Arthropoda; Arachnida; Scorpiones; Buthidae. The record is from RNAcentral.